RNAcentral lists this long non-coding RNA (760 nucleotides) under Homo sapiens (human). RNAcentral describes it as "HSALNT0365078". The record is from RNAcentral. Lineage: Eukaryota; Metazoa; Chordata; Mammalia; Primates; Hominidae.
ACUCUCUUCCUGUACAUACAGGGCCUUGCUGCUCUUGAGGGAUUGUCCUGGCAGGAUCAAAAGCAGCUCCUGCAUGGGGACGCCGUGUCCUCCUGCUGUUAUCAUAGUAUGCCCUGUGCUCCCAGGAGGAGGCUGAGUCUAGAUCAUAAAGGGCAUUGUGGCACCUACCUUGAUUUCUCUUGGAUCACUCAUUCUGAGGGAAGAUAGCUGCCAUGUUGGGAGGACGUGCAAGCAGCCCUGUGAAGAGGUCAACACAGGGGGGAACUGAAGCCCCUUCCAAACAGCUAGCACCAACUUGCCAGCCAUGUAAAGUGAUUCACCUUGGAAACAGAUCCUCCAGCCUCAGCCAAGCCUUCAGAUGCAACCUCAUGACAGACUCUGAACCAGAAACACACAGCCAAGCUGCUGACCCACAGACUUUGUGAGAGAUCAUAAACAUUUACUGUUGUUCUAAGACACUGUUUUAGGGUGCUUUGUUGUACAACAAUAGCUUACUGAAAAUACAGAGAGCCUAGCACAGUGCCUGCAUGUGGUCAUCACUCAAUGGUUGAGCGAGUGAAUCUUGCUUAGUAUUGAACACUCCCACUGACAGCUAACUGUACCAUCUCUCAAAACAAUUCAUUCUAUCUUUGGGCAAUUCUGUUAAAGAUUAUUAGAAUUAAAUUGGAUCUUUCUCAAUACAGCUUCCACAUCUUGGUCUUAUUUUUACUGCUCUUUCAAAAAUCAUUAAACUGGAAUCUUUCUUAACAUAGCUUCUACA